RNAcentral lists this ribosomal RNA (499 nucleotides) under uncultured bacterium. RNAcentral describes it as "bacterial SSU rRNA". It matches the Rfam family "Bacterial small subunit ribosomal RNA", at positions 19 to 518 of the family's 1533-position model. The record is from RNAcentral.
AUGGCUCAGGAUAACGCUGGCGGCGUGCCUAACACAUGCAAGUCGAACGGAAAGCUACCGCUUCGGAGACUUCGGUCAAUGUUUGGUAGUUUUAGUGGCGGACGGGUGAGUAACGCGUGGAUAACCUGCCAUAUACAGGGGGAUAACAGUUAGAAAUGACUGCUAAUACCGCAUAAGCGCACAGUCUCGCAUGGGACAGUGUGAAAAACUCCGGUGGUAUAUGAUGGAUCCGCGUCUGAUUAGCCAGUUGGCGGGGUAACGGCCCACCAAAGCGACGAUCAGUAGCCGGCCUGAGAGGGUGAACGGCCACAUUGGGACUGAGACACGGCCCAAACUCCUACGGGAGGCAGCAGUGGGGGAUAUUGCACAAUGGGGGAAACCCUGAUGCAGCGACGCCGCGUGAGUGAAGAAGUAUUUCGGUAUGUAAAGCUCUAUCAGCAGGGAAGAUAAUGACGGUACCUGACUAAGAAGCACCGGCUAAAUACGUGCCAGCCGCUGC